CGUAAUAACGAACUAGUCUCAGCUAGCAGUCAGCAACACUACCAACCUGAGAGGAGUAAUGAGUCUAAUAACUUAGUGAGCAGCCAGCAAUCAGUAGUCGCUAGCAGUCAUGAGAACAUUCCUCCAGAACAAUCCAUCGUUGUAGCGAGUAGCCAUCAAAGCAUCGUUGUUGCCAGCUCUCACCAGAGUGUAACUGUUGCUAGUUCCCAUCAAGCUGAACCGUCAUCACAAGCUACUUGCUCCCACACCGUUACAACCACUCACGCUGGGCACAAGAGGGUUCGCGACUCUGAAGGUGAUGCAUCUAGUCAUACAGAUGACAGCGGGAAAGAUCAUCUUGUAAAGAGAAGUAGAGUCUCCGUAGAACAAGAAGAAACACAAGGUGAAUCAGAAGUUGAGUACCAAGUACCCACUUCUUCUCAGCGAGACCAAGAAGAUGAUGCGAUCACAGUCGACUCGGAAACCUCUAAUGAAGAAGAAGAGGAGGAGGAGGAGGAAGAAGAGAGGACGGAAGCGGAUUGACGGAAGAGGGUCAUGGAGAGUACGAAGAAGGUUAUGAGAUGGAAACUUAUGAUCGCGACGAUGACCAAGAAAUUGGAUACAAUGAAGGAGAAGAGAACAGCGAAGUGGAAGUGAUGGAUAGCCACCGCGGCGGACAGUCCAGUGAAGCAACAAGUAGUCAUAUGCUGCGCAGACCGGCCGCCAUUACACCUCUCUCCCGACAGCAGCAGUUGCUAUUGCCCCAAAAUUAUGAGGACGCUGGUGACGAUAGUAUUGUGCCCAGCACGCCUACUUUGUUCCUACCACACCGUCUGGACGGGUUUGGUGAAGCCGUCAGUUCGCCGCACGUUCCAUCAACCGGUGGACGCUUCACUUUUGUUGAAUCUGGUACACCUGUAUCUAGAGCAGGUGUUGCGCAAGUUGUGUCAGAAGGUAUGGACGACACUACAAUUGAUCUCAGCCAACUGGAGACAGGCCGUUCAGUCCCGUCAACUCCAUUACAAGUAUCACCUCAAGGAGAAGGGAGUGGAGAAAUCGGGCAAAGUGAAGAAGACAAUUUAAUGAAGAAGAACCUCAAGAACGUAACGAGUCCGAAUCUGCUCAAGACGCCAUCAAUGAUAUGUGCGAUGAUGAUGAUGACGAUAACAAUGAAGAUAUUGGAAAUGAUAAUCGUGAUAAUGAUUCCCCCGAGUUGAUCAUUCUUGACAUAAAUGAUGAUAAUGGAGAUGGUAAUGAUCACUGUACAUUUAGUUCAUUCUUCAGCUUUGUUUCUAACUUGAUCUCUUUUUUGUCUCUUAGUUGCCAUCAAUAACAAGAUAGAGUUCACUGAUCAAAACAUUAUACGCCCUAGGAAUGAAACAUUAUUGAAGUGAUUUCUUUUUAAAAAGAAGAAAAUAAAAGCUGUGAAGAUUGCAUCAUGGCUAAAACCUUUAAUUCCAGCUGAAAUCAUAAAAUAAAUAUUUGCGUAGGUCAACUCAAUAUCUGAAUUUAUGAAUUAUGUGAGUGCUAUUUUUUUCUUGUUUAAAGUGAGAGAGAAUUUUCAACACCUUAAAGACUUAUUUUCUUGGCAAACCUUGGUUCACUGGGCCACUGUACAAGGUCUAGAUUAAAAACAUACUUCACCUGCUUUCUUUUCAAAAUUUUACAAAGAAAACUUCUUACACAACAGGAAAUUUGGAAAUUAACUCUUGAACGUUGUAACAUCGAAUAUUUUUAACACAGAUCAAAUAGAAGUUAAAUGAUACAAACUAUGUCUUUUGUUCUGGUGUCAUUUAACCAAUGUUAAUUGUUAACACCUAUAUCUUGUUUAGAAGUUAAUUUCUUGACUUCCCACUGUGUGAUCUGUUUUUCUCGUGAAAUUUAAAGAGAUACAUGUUGCGCAGUGCUUUAAUUCAUACCUUGUAUAGAGGCCCAUUGAAAACAGAAUAAUUAACGUUGCCUUAGUUUUGCAUCACAUUCCUAAGAAGAGUUAUGAAGAAAAAUGUAACAGCACCACCAAAUUAUCAUUUUUAGCUGAUUCAUGUGUACUUAGCAGCUUAUUUUUUUUUUUUUCACAGAGGUAACUUCAGAAGGGGAAAAAACUCAAGCAAGUGGCUCAGGUAGUCAAGGGAGUGGCGUUGAAGAAGAAGGAAGAGAAGCAGAGGCAGCAACUGAAAGGAUCAUCGUUCAGUUGGGAGCGAGAGGCAACACAGCGCGCAGAGUCAGGAGUGGAUUCUCUAACAGAGCAGGAAGGAGCAAUCGCCAGCCUCCUACGCCCAUUGUAUGGGAUGAAGUGCCCUCUACCGCCAUUGCACUUUCUUCUCAAAGGGGUAAGAUUUCUUGCUUAUUUUAAAUUAUGUGCAUAGUUCUUCCAGCUAGCAGGCAGCUGAAAAGAUUUUUCUGGGCUUCACUGUCCUCCAUUUGUACAAGUUCCUCCCUAAAAACUGCCCCUUCUUUCUUCUACUAAAACCUCAAAUCUCCUGCUUUUUUUUCUCUCUAGAAGAGUAAGAAUUUCCUACAAUCAAUAUCACUGAUGAGCUGUCGGCCAAAGUCAUCAAGACACAAUCAGAUUAAUCAACAGUUUUACUUAACUAAGUUAUAACUUCAAAUUUAAUUUAGGCACGAAAAGAAUAACAAAGAAAAAAACCAAAAAAUUCAACGAAAAACAAGUUAAUCAAUACUGAGAAAAAAUUUGAUGAUACUACUUGUAUUUAUCAUGACGGACUUUCCGCAGUGUAUGGAGGAGUUAAUUCUGUGCCUCAAGUUUCUGUAAUUGUCUGAUUGAAUCUUUUGGAAUAAUCCCUAUGUUCGGCCCCAUAAGGGGUUUAAUUCAAAGGAAGUAAAGUGGCACCGAUGACAAAGCCAGGUGGGGGAAAUGGCGUUUGCUGAUUGGUUGCACUCAGCUUCGAGUAUCGUCUUGCUAUGUCAUUUCGACUGUCAACUUUUGAGUGAUUGGGUUUUGAGUAGCUUUUUCUUCUCCUAAGAAUGCCUUUUUGAACUUUUCAAUAAACUUUUAAGUUCUUUCAUAAAAUUUUGUGGAUGAUGAAAUCCACCACAACCCUGCAAAAAUCCCUUGCCACUGUCCCAUUCCGCAUAUCAACAUGAACCAUCUUCAGUCUGUCAGCCAUGAUGACUUGAUCAGUUGAUACCAGGUUACCCCAGCACAAUAGGAAGUGUUGAUUCUCCAAGACUGCAUCAGGGCUGUAUUUGUAAUGAGGUUUAUACUUUUCAUGUAACUCAUGAUCUUUGGCUAGUGCUGGGUGGAUAAUUUGGAAACUUGUGGUUAAGAACUUUAAACAUUACAGACUAAAGGAUUUUAUUAUCUAGAGUAAUUUUCAGUUUUAUUUCCAUUACAAAAGUUACGGUUUGACUAAUAAACUUUAUUAUUCUUUUAGGUGCAAGGGGAGGUCGAAAUGUCCCUCCCAAUGUUUUAGGAGAAAGUCCCGAUUUGCAGCGAGGGUCAUUUAGAGGACGCAGACUGCGUUCUAGAGGAGCUUAUCACUAUCAACCCAGAUUCUAAUCGAGCUGUCAUAAAGCAUCUUCUCAGUCAACAAAUUUCAAAAAAUGAAAGUAGGUCUCAUGGCUUAUUCCAGUUGUCCAUAAGUUUGACCUGGUCUGAACAAAUUCCUAGAUGAAUCAUAAGAUAAGUUCUCAGAGGAUCUUCUCUAAUUUAUUAAAAUUGUACAAUUUAACUGGCUGUAUGUAUGAUCUUUGCUUACAAUUAUUCUAGUGUGUUGCGCUUUGAGCUCAAUGUAAAAACAACUUAUACCAAAAUUAGACAUGAAAUGAGGUAAUUGUUUCCUACCAAGUGAGAAAUACUGAAACAUUCUCCAAAAAAUAUGUACAACACUCCUUGGAAUUUUUUUUGUCUUUUACAGUAAGACCUCAAUUUACUAGACUAGAAUUUAAUGAAUUUAUCCGAUCUCUUCAAGGGCUCCAAGCCAAUUCGAAUUAACAGAUUCCGCAAUUAUUAAAGCGACUCAUUAGCCCUGCGAAAUCUGGUAAAUCAAGGUCUCACUGAUCCUAGUUAUUUUCUAUAAAUUAAUUCUUCUUAAUUGUACAAUGUGCUUUUCAUUGGAUACCAUUUACUUGCUAUCCUAUGCUCUGCCUCAUCCCAAUUACUUUAUUUUUUUCAUCUCUUUGGUUUGAGUUCAUAAGCCUCAUUGUUCUUACUUUGGCUUUUCUGUUUGCAAUUUUCUUCAAAAGUUUGUACCGACCUUGACAGAGUGACCAGAUUAGGCUCUAAAAAUAAUAAUUCUCGAUAGUUGGAGAACUAGACCCGAAUUUUGUCGGCAGGUUUGCGGUCAGCUGCAAAUUGAGGCUAGAAUGUUGACAUUGUUAUUUGAUCGCCGGUUAAUGGUCUGUAAUGUUGAAAACUAAAGAGGGCUUGAGCCCGCCACAAAAAAAGCUCAACUUGGCAUAGCUUAAGUUUAAAAUAUACUUUUCCCGAUUUAAAGUCAGUUUAGGUUUUGCAACUUUCAAGGGACCGCAGCCAACAAAAUUUGGGCCUUUGUGGACAGAACAAUGUUAUAGUGUUGUCAUUGUAGUGCAAAGCACAUAAGUGAUUUCAUCCUGUAUCAUUUGAUAAGGAAGUAAGCAAUGUCACACUCACAACUACUCAAAAUUUUGAUUUGCACUUCUCAAACUGUCUAUUGUCUCUUGCACAAAUUGCCUAGUCUAUGUGUUUUCAACUCAUCAACUGCCUCGUAUCAUAGAAACAAGGCACUCUCUUGUUUCCUUAAUGUAACCUUUUAAGUACGAGCCCAAGACUACAGUUUCCAUGAUCCUUAGACUAUCAAACCCAGAAAUUUGGGGAUUUCCCUAAAGAAUUCAAAUCUUUGCUUUUUUCCAAUGGAAUAGGCUGCAAUUCGUUUGCAGGACAACCAGUUUCUGUUGAGAGGAGUGCAUUCUACGAGUCUAGCCUGGUAAUGACAGGGUUACUGGCAGAAUUUUUUCAUUGUUAUGCCUCUUAAUAGAGCUUUGACCAGAAAAAUUUAGAAAAUCUUGGUUUGAAAAAAGAAAUGAAAAAAGUUGGAAAAGUUGGAGAAUUUUCUUUUCCUUAGUUUGUAGACCCACUUGUUGUUCCAUGAUUCCGGUGGGUUGUAAGUAAAUUGUCUGCUGUGACAAAGCUGGCCUGGCAUGGCAGCUGAUGAGUUAAAAUAAUCUGGAAAUUCAACUUGACAAAAAAUUUGCUAACAAAUGAUAAAUUUGAGAACUGAAAGUUUAGAAUUAGGCAAGCAUAGAACAUCAGCAAUAUCAAGAAGAAAACCCAAUAACUGUUCUUAAAAAAAAAAAAAAAAAUUGAUGCUUUCUUUGUGAGGCAAGUGCAGUGUGCUUGUCGGGACAUUUAUCUGUUUGUACGCAGAGGUAGGACUGGUAAAUUUCAAUUCUUUUAAAAAAUUAAUGCCUCUGUUUUAAGGCCCUCCCUAUUAUUGAUAAAUAGAGUCCAUGCCAGAUAAGUUUUCUCACUUUUAGCUUAAGACAGAAGAUCCGUCAUCUUGAUUCUUGCAUUUACUGUCCAAGCUAAAUCUUCUGGAACAGCUUAAAAGUGCAUAAAUUUAUCUGGCGUGGACUUCAAUAGAUGCAAAAUUUGUAAUGAAAGAUGCAGACCUCAUGCAUUGUAAUUACACAAUGUCAGUUUUAAUUUGAUCCUGUUUUACACCAAUGUUAAUUUUAGAAAACCUUUCAAUGAAAAAAAAAAUCAAAUGUGAUAUUAAUUAUGUGUUUCCUGGAUGUAGAUUUAUAGAUACCUAAACUGAAUUGUAUUUUAUUGUAUAUAUGUUUCUUUUUUCCAGUGAACGAGUUCUAAUAAAUAAAAAAUAAUUUUUUUAUAUUCUGUUUGUGUUCUGCUCAUACUUCCAAUAUCAGGAUCUGCCUUGUAAAAAAUAAUUUGCUUGCACUAUUUUUAUUUGAAAUGUUGAAGAGGUAACUUCUGAAAAGAUAUUGAAUUUUCCUCUCAACGUAAGAUGAAACAAGGAGUUAAAUCAUAGUGAAUGCUCG
This 5979-nucleotide long non-coding RNA is filed under the name Bemisia tabaci. Its description in RNAcentral is "lncRNA ENSSSA3NGG005603". The record is from RNAcentral. Lineage: Eukaryota; Metazoa; Arthropoda; Insecta; Hemiptera; Aleyrodidae.